ACCCACCAGCUUCUGCGGGAUUGAGAAGCCGCUGGGGAUCCCCCUGCUCCCCGUUUCCUCCUCAAGACUUUGGAGCAUAUGAGGUGGUGGUAGGAGCGCGGGGCUGAGUCAGGUGCAGGGAUGAGGACUCUGCCCGAGGAGCCGCAUGCCUGCUCCUCUGAGCUCCCUGCGGCCCAUCAGUUAGCGUCUUGGCAGUCAGAAGCUCGGAGAGAGGGAGAUGGGUGAUGUUGAACCACCACCACGGGCUGGCAGCAGAGGGACGCCCCUACCCUAGGUUCUAAGCGCCAGGAAGUGGGCACCACCAUUUCUUUAUCGUUGCAACCCCACCUCCAGCACAGUGUCUGGCAUGGGAUCUGGCUCAAGACAUUUUUAUUAAGUGGAUGGAUGGCUAUAGAAUGAAUGAAAUUAGUCACAGUAACUAACUGUGAUUCAAUUCUGAGCAUACUGUACUUCUUACCCGGCCUACGCAAGACUAGCCCACAAGAAGAAUGCCAAGGUGGAUGAUGUGGGCGCUGGGAAUCAGAGCUGAGAGAGAGUGAACAGGAUGUUAAUAAAACCCAAAUGGGGUCCAGGAUUGAGGCGAGUAUGGGAAGAGGACACAAGUACCCACCCUGAUGUAGCUGGACCCACCUCCUGCUGGGAGGGCAUCUCUCCCCAAAGUCAGGUGGAGGCAGAGAAUCGGUUACACCUGUUGGGGAACUGAUGACCCAGACAGGACAGGGUAACAAUGACAGCAAUGAAGAUGUGCCUUUUGGGCAUCGGGAUAUUGCUAGGCAACUGCUUUGAGCAUUUUGCACUUCAGGUCAUGCAUUCUAGUAGCUGCACCUGCUCCCUUGCUCCCUCUCCCUCUCCAGAUCCUGCCAUGCACCGCUUUCCUCUCUUUUCCCUCCCCUUCCAGUUCCUCCAAGUGUUAAACUUGGAAUUGAAGUAUUCCUUUCACCACGGUAUGUCCUGGAUUUCAAACAGCUCCUCUCUCCCUGCCAAUCUCUCCAUCGGAGCCCCUCUCCGUCUGUAUUUGUUAAUUUCAGGUUCUGUGAACAUCGCCUCUGCUCUGGAGGUCAGGUGUGGUGGUGGGGCUCCUCCAUCUGCUGUGAGAGUGUAGGGGUGAAGGGAGGAGGGACUGGGGGUAGCAGAAGGAGCCAGCCUCUUUCCCCAGCUCUCCUGCCUCUUGGCUUCCUACCCUGCAGCCAGGCCAGCACCCACAAGAGGCUGCAGCCUGCAUUUCAGGAUUUCUAGCUUGGCAGGGCGCCUGAGGGGGCAGGAAAUGGAAAGAGAGGGCGGGAGGAGCCACAGGCUUUCCCAGUGCCCUGCCCAGGCUGGGAUGAACAGUAUCUUUGAGAUCAAAAACCAACUGGCCCACACCCUGCAGAGCUGGCCUUGUCCCUGCCCCUUGAUGGGAGGGGAGGGCUGAAUCUGCAAAGUAGGAGGAGUGGGAGGUAGGGGCGCUAGGGAGUGGGUGGCCCCUGCUGUCACUGGGCCCAGGGGUUACUGUCAGGCCCCACCCCCGGGAGACAGAAAGGAGGCAUUUCAGAGCUGGGUGGGCUGUGCUGACACUGAACGCUUGUUUGUCUGCCGCCCACACUCUCUGGGAAUCGCCUGUGUGGCCAGGCACCCCAGGCGGAGGUUGCCGCUAACAGGAGGCCUGUGCCCAUCGGCUCCCCCUCCCCAGAGGGGCAGCUCUGAGAGUGCCCCAAAGGACAAGGGACUGGGAUUCUCAGUGGUGACCUUUGGGGCAGGACAGGGAGAGACCAGGGUAAGCCAGAGCCCUGGACUUUGCCAGGCCUCGUGAACAAAGCACCCAAAAAGUUUUAAUAAAAGGCUCUGAAGACUCUGCCAACCUCCACCUCCGCCCCCCCCAGGAGAGUGUGGCCAACUGGGUGACUUGAGGGUGAAGGGUGAGAGCGUUGGACAGGCCAGGACUCGCUCCUGCUGCUGCGGGCUCCCUGGAGCAGGCGUCCCGGGAAAUCAAAAAUCCUCAGCCCACUCCUGAGUGCAUUUCACAGAAGCAGUCUGAGCUCUGCCCUUCCUUUCUUGAAGACUGGCCUCCAGCUCACAUGGGGCCCAGAAAGGAGCCCCCAGCUCCCCGGAAAUCCUGGAUCCAGGAUUUCACAAGACAGCGAGCAUUAGGGCUCCACAGAGCAUUUGCUGAAGUUCUUUUUUUUUUUUUUUUUCUCAAAAUGUGCGCCUUGGCUGGGAUUCCCUGGGGGCAGAGAGGUGAGAUGUGUUCACAGCCAGGAGGUCACAGCCCUCCUGACUCAGGUAGGGUGGAACAGACUGGGUAGGUGGCAUCUUGGAUUCUGACUUUGCUCUCUUAAUCUAUGGUCUUAUUUACGGCUGGCUUCAUGGACAUUCACCUGUACAAUCACACAGAAGUGCCAUCUUAAAAUUCCUUGUAAUAUUGAACAAGGAACUCUGUGUUUUCAUUUUGCGCUGAGCCCUGAAAAUUAUGUAGCCGAUCCUGGUCUUAAAACACAAGGGGCCGGGUGCAGUGGCUCACACCAGUAAUCCCAGCACUUUGGGAGGUCAAGGCAGGUGGAUCACCUGAGGUCAGGAGUUCGAAACCAGACUGACCGAUAUGGUAAAACCCUGUCUCCACUAACAAUACAAAAGUUAGCUGGGCGUGGUGGCAUGCACCUGUUGUCCCAGCUACUUGGGAGGCUGAGACAGGAGAAUCACUUGAACCCGGGAGUUGGAGGUUGCAGUGAGUCGAGAUCGCGCCACUGCACUCCCACCUGGGUGACAGAGUGAGACUCCGUCUUAAAAAACAAAACAAAACCUCAAGGAAAAAUUAGUGGCUCUAAAAUUCCUAUUUAGGAGAAGCUUUGAAGUAAAAGGCUCAUUAGGAGUGAGAUCUAGGCAAUUUAUUCUGAAGCUGCACUUGGAUAAUAAUGAUAACAAUAACAAAAGCAGCAUAUUCUUAUAGCACUUAUUAGGUACCAGUCACUCUUCUAAAUGCUUUAUGUGGGGCCAGCUGCGGUGGCUCAAACCUGUAAUCCCAGCACUAUGGGAGGCUGAGGGGGGCAGAUACUUGAGGUCAAGAGUUAGAGACCAGCUUGGCCAACAUGGUGAAAAACCCCAUCUCUACUAAAAAUACAAAAAUUAGCCAGAUGUGGUGGUGGGUGCCCAUAAUCCCAGCUACUCUGAGGCUGAGGCAGGAGAAUCGCUUGAAUCCAGGAGGUGGAGGUUGCAGUGAGCCGAGAUUGUGCCACUGCACUCCAGCCUGGGCAACAGAGUGAGAUUCCUUCUCAAAUAAAUAAAUGCUUUAUAUGAGUUAGCCCAUUUAAUCUCCUUCCUUAGCAUAUCAAUUAUACUAUUUUUCAUCAGAACUACUACUAUUCCGAUUUUAUAGAAAAGGAAACUGAGGCUUAUUAAAACUAAAGAAGUGGCCAGGUGUGGUGUUUCAUGCCUGUAAUCUCAGCACUUUGGGAGACUGAGAUGGGAGGAUUACUCGAGUCCAGGAGUUUGAGACCAGCCUGGACAGCAGAGUGAGACCCUGUCUCUACAAAAAAUCAAAAAAUUAUCCAGGCAUGAUGGCGUGCACCUGUGCACCUGUAGUCUCAGCUACUUAGGAGGCUGAGGCAGAACGACUGCUUGAGCCCAGGAGGCCAAGGUUGCAGUGAGCUGUGAUUGCACUGCUGCACUCCAGCCUUGGGUGACAAAGCAAGACACUGCCUCAAAAAAAGAAAGAAAGAGAGGAAGGGAGGAAGGGAGGGAGGAAGGAAGGAAGGGAGGGAAGGAGGGAGGGAGGGAUGGAAGGAGGAAGGAAGGAAGGAGGGAAGGAAGGAAGGAAGGAAAGAAGGAAAGAAGGAAAGAAGGAAGGAGGAAAGGAGUUAAAGAAGUGGCCCAAUAAAUCCUGGGCAGUUUGGCUCCACCACCCUUCACCCUCUGCUAGCACUCCUGUUUGUAUUUAAAGUGGGUUUCUUGUGGACAACACAUAGUUAGGUCUUGAUUUUUCUAAUCCAUUCUGAGGUCUCUGUCUUUAAUUGGUGUAUUUAGACCAUUCACAUUUAAAGUGAUUGUUGAUGUAGUUGGAUUAAUACCUACCACAUUUGUAACUACUUUGCAUUCAGUACACUUGUUUUUACUUUUAAAAAAUCUUCUCUUUUUCUACCUUCUCUGGUUUUGAGUGUUUUAUGUGAUUCCAUAUUCUCUCCUUUCUUAGCAUAUCAAUUAUACUUCUUUUAAGCAACUUUUUGGUGGUUGACCUAGAGGUUUUGUAAUAUACAUUUACAAGUAAUCUGAGUCCACUUUCUUGUUUGUUUUGUUUUGUGGGUUUUUUUUUUUUUUUUUCCAGGCUGGAGUGCAGUGGCACAAUCUCAGCUCACUGCAACCUCUGCCUCUGGGGUUCAAGUGAUCCUCCCACCUCAGCCUCCCGCAGGAGGAGUAGCAGGAUUACAGGUGCUCGCCACCACACCCAGCUAAUUUUUGUAAUUUUAGUAGAAACUGGGUUUUACCCUGUUGGCCAGGCUGGUCUUGAACUCCUGACCUCAAGUGAUCCUCCUGCCUCAGCCUCCCAAAGUGCUGGGAUUACAGGUAUGAGCCACCGCACCUAGCCCCUGAGUUCACUUUCAAAUAACGCUCUAGGGCUUCACUGAGUAUCUGCAAUUCCUCCCUCCCCUCCUUUAUAAUGUUGCUGCCAUUCAUUUCACUUCUGCAAACGCUGUCAUCAACCAUAACCACCUAACACAUUGUUCCUGUUAUUGUUGGUUUACUGCAGUUACUCAUGUCUUGAAUCCUCACAACAAUCUUACAAGGUAGAGACAGUCCUCAGCCUCAUGUCACAGGGGUCUAUGGAGCCACAGGAAGUUUCUGCAAGUCACUGGGUCACAGUCAGCGAGUGGCAGGGCUAAGCUUUGAACUCAGGCAUCCCUCACACUGCAGGCAAGCAGCCUGCUUUUGUUUAGUUGAAGUGCUACCUGUCUUCCAACACAGCAAACUUUACUAAAGAGAGUUUUUAUUCCUCUGCCGUUUUUAUUUUGAGGCAGAGUCUCACUCUGUCACCCAGGCUGGAGCGCAGUGGCGCAGUCUCUGCUCACUGCAACCUCCACCUCCCAGGUUCAAGCAAUUUUCCUGCCUCAGCCUCCUGAGUAGCUGGGAUUACAGACACCUGCCACCAUACCCAGCUAAUUAUUAUUAUUAUUAUUAUUAUUAUUAUUAUUAUUAUUGUAGGUAUGGUGUUUCACCAAGUUGGCCAGGCUGGUCUCAAACUCCUCACCUCACGUGAUCUGCCCACCUCGGCGUCCCAAAGUGCUGGGAUUACAGGCAUGAGCCACUGCACCUGGCCUAAAGAGAGUUUUAAUUUCCAUUUUCUAUGGCGUUUUCACUUAGUAUUGUUCUGCUUAGCAUAUUAUUAUUAUGGGGCCUUUGUAGGGGCUGAUGGAGAUGGAGGGGGCAACCAAAAAAAUUGAGGUUCUGACCUCAUCCACUGACUCCUCCCAAAUCACAUCCUGAGGUCCUGAGGGCUCAACCAAAAAAAUUGGGGUUCUGACCUCAUCCACUGACUCCUCCCAAAUCACAUCCUGAUGUCCUGAGGGCUCAAGAGUGAGAGGGAGGGGCUCACCGUGCCCACCUUGUGGCAUGAGGCAUCAAGGGCUGGGGCAUCCCCGUGUAGAAACAUAGCCAUCUGUUCUCUCAGGUCAACACUCUGGGUCUGCAGUCUGGCCUGCAAACCCUUCUCUAGAAAGUCUGAUCUCUGGAUUCUCAGGCUGUCCCCUGGUGACCCAGGGAUUGGCUGUGGGUCUUUGGCAAGAGGCCAGAAGGGGCAUUCCAGGGACCCUCCCUGCAGUAGCUGAGCAAGGCAGCACCGCUCCUGGAGAUGGGCAGAAAGGAAUCACUUUCUGUUUGUAAACAGCAUCCACAUGCUGCUGGCAUCCUUCCUUCCUCCUGGCCUUCCUGAACUCUGCUCUUUUUGGCAGAGAGAAGCAAUGUGGACAAGGUCCUGGGGCAGGAGCGGGCAUGAGUGUCCUACCCAACCUCGCUGGGCUGAUUUUCUAGGCUAGUGGGAUCCCCCUGAAAAGGCAUCUGGAAUCCGACCUGAAUUUCUUUUUUCUUUUCUUUUUUUUCUUUUUCUUUUUCUUUUUUUUUUUGAAACAGAGUCUCACUCUGUCGCCCAGGCUGGAGUGCAGUGGCACAAUCUUGGCUCACUGCAACCUGCAACCCUGGGUUCAAACAAUUCUCCUGCCUCAGCCUCCUGAGUAGCUGGGAUUAAAGGCACACGUCACCAUACCCGGCUAAUUUUCGUGUUUUUAGUGGAGAUGGGGUUUUGCCACGUUGGCCAGGCUGAUCUCAAACUCCUGACCUCCAGUGAUCUGCCCACCUUGGCCUCUCAAAGUGCUGGGAUUACAGGUGUGAGCCACCAUGCCCAGCCUCAGAUCUGCAUUUUUGGGGCAGACACAAAUCUAGCUGAUCUUUGAGAGGGAAGCCUAGAUAGGGCAGAGGCAAUCUGGACUCCCCAGAUGCCUACAGAGCUGGGGCUGUGGGGCACCCAGUGUCAGGCUAAGAGGGCAGCUGCAUUGUGGUAGGCAGCAUUUUGAUUGAACAGCAUCUGUUCUUUCUGUCGACAGCAUCCUCAUUUCCCCUUGAGUAUCUACGCUUCCGCCUUUCUCAAGUGAUUCUUCCCCUCUGCUCCUGAGGGAGACGGGGGAUCAGACGUGGCCAAUCAGCAGAUUCUCUUCUCCCAUUGGUUCUAUGUUGGUCUAGGCUGUCCAGUGGGAGUCAGUCCUAGGACUCUUUUGCUGAGACCAUUAGAGAAGAGGAAAUCUCCUUUUGCUGAGUUUGUUGAGCUGAUCAGAUGCAACCCUGGAGCUGCUAGAGUCUUGCUUCUCUGCUGACAAAGAGAACGUAGACCCUAAAGAUGAUUUUUUAUUUUUAUUUAUUUAUUUUUUAAUUAAUUAAUUGUUGUUUGUUUGUUUGUUUGUUUAAGAUGGAGUCUGGCUCUCUCACCCAGGCUGGAGUGCAAUGACACAAUUUUGGCUCACUGCAACCUCUGCCUCCUGGGGCUCAAGCGAUUCUCCUGCCUCAGCCUCCCAAGUAGCUGGGACUACAGGUGCACGCUGCCAUGCCUGACUAAUUAUUGUAUUUUUAGUAGAGAUGGGGUUUCACCAUGUUGGCCAGGCUGGUCUCGAACUCCUGACCUCAGGUGAUCUGCCCACCUCGGCCUCCCAAAGUACUGGGAUUACAGGAGUGAGCCACCAUGCCCAGCCCUAAAACUGAUAUUUUAAAUGGCAUUGUAAAUGAGUGGGGAAAGAAUGGAUUAUUCACAAAAUAGAACAACUGGUUACACAUUUGGAGGGGGUGGAAAUUAAGUUGGACCCCUUCCUUGUAUCACAAAACAAUUCCAGUUAGAUGAAGGAAGUAUUAAAAAGUGGACACAGUGAAAGAAAAUGCAGGAUAAUGCUUUUUCAUACACAUGAGAGUGGGCAAGACUUUCCUUAGCAUGCCACAAAGUCCAGAAGCUACAAAUGGAAAAUAUUUGCAGAUUGACUUCCUGAAAACAGAAACCUGUAUAGCCAAAGAUAGCACAGAAAAAGUUGAAAGGCCAACAAUGACUGGGAGAAAAGGUUUACAACAUUGCAACAAAGGUAAAUACUCCUAAUUACAGAAAUAACUGAAUUGAACAUCAAUAGGACAAAAGGAAAUACCGCUUAUGCUCAAAUUGGGCAAAGGACGUGAGCUCCAAAGUUACAGAAAAAUAGUCAGAUCGUUGUUCACUCCUAGGAACACUGAUCAAAAGAAGCAUCUGGGGGAAGGGAUUAGAAGUGAUGUCACGCACAGAACUGUUGAAGGAAUGGAGAAUAUUUAGCAUGGAAGGAAACGGGUUAGCGCAACACCUUCCAAUAAAAAGAUAAUGUCAGGGGCCGGGCGUGGUGGCUCACGUCUGUAAUCCUAGCACUUUGAGAGGCCAAGGCAGACAGAUUGCUUGAGCCCAGGAUUUCGAGACCAGCCUGGGAAACAUAGCAAAACCCUAUCUCUAAACAAAACAAAAUAAAACAAAAAUUAGCUGGGUGUGGUGGUGCAUACCUGUUGUCCCAGCUACUCUAGAGGCUGAGGCGGAAGGAUCGCUUGAGCCCUGGGGGUUGAAGCUGUAGUGGGCUGUGACCACACCACUGCAAUCCAGCCUGGGCGACAGAGCAAGACUGUCUCAAAAAAACCAAAACAAACAAACAAACAACAACCAAAUAGCUAGUAUAUAGAAAAGGAGUUAAGCCUGCUAAGCACAGUGGACAAAAAGACAGAUCAACAGGUAAAAAUAGCAGGGAGUUAGAUUUUAAUUCAACACAAGAAAAAACUAUAAUUUACGUUUGUACUAUCCAAAACAGUAGCCAUCAGCCCCAAGUGACCACUGAGCACUGAUCUAGCUAGUCUGAUUGAGAAGUGGUGACAUGUAAAAUACACACCAGAUUUCUAAGAUUUAGUACAAUACAUAUGAAUGUAAAACAAUGUAAAACAUUCCAUUAAAUUUCUAACUUUUUUUUUUUAGACUGAGUCUCGCUCUGUCACCCAGGCUGGAGUGCAGUGGCAUGAUCUCAGCUCAAUGAAACCUCCACCCCCCACGUUCAAGCAAUUCUCCUGCCUCAGCAUCCUGAGUAGCUGGGAUUACAGGCAUAUGCUACCACGCCCAGCUAAUUUUUGUAUCUUUAGUAAAGAUAGGGUUUCACAACAUUGGUCAGGCUGGUCUCGAACUCCUGACCUCAGGUGAUCCCCUCAUCUUGGCCUCCCAAAGUGCUCAGAUGACAGGUGUAAGCCACCGUGCCUGGCCUAAAUUUCUGAAUAUUGAAUACAUGUUGAAAUGAUCGUAUUUUAGAUCUAUUGGGAAAAAGAAAAUAUUAAAAUUAAUUUGACUUGUUUCUUUUUACUUUUUAAAUAUACUUUAAAAAGUAAUGUUAACAUGUUUACAUUAUAUUUCUGUUGGGUAGCACUGAUUAAAACCUCUGUUACAAUGGGAUAGAAUGGUUUGUGGAGUAGUGAGUUCCCUGUCCUGAGAGCGUUUCAAGCCGAGGUUGGAUGAUUGGGAAGUAGGGACAGCACGUGAUGACAUCAGAGUUGAGAACCCGUAGAUUUCUUCAGCUCCUGGGUCUCCUCGAUGUGUAGGGGCUUCUGGGACUACAGCUAAGUGCAUAGCUAGAGAGCAGCUCAUCGUCUUCCUGGAAGUGGCCUAGAAAGCAGCUCUCAUUCCACACAGCAGGAGUCAUCUCUUCUUAACAAUAAUCCAGCAUGAACUACUGUUGGUUCAGGGGGCAAGGAUUGGCAGAAUGAGAACCGGACCCUGCCUGCCUUCUGUGCCCUUGUGGCUUAGCCCAGCUCCAGGGUCAGCUCCAUGAGGCCCCCAUUUUCUCCUGCUCCCAGAUAGUGUGCAGAGGGAGGACCCCUCAUGGCUCUCUGCUCAGCUGCACGUCCUGGGCAGAGCUCCCACACGAGGGAAGCUCUUGGCUGCCUGGGUGUGGAGAGGCCCUUUAGAGUAAGUAGCGUAGCAGAUGCAAAGCUGGAAACGCUACUUCCCACUCCCUGCUGGCCAGACUGUUUCCUCCUUGCAAUCUUUGUCUCAUCAAGCAAGGAUCAAGCCAGCACCCCAAGAGUGGGCUGACCAGGCCCUGAUGCAAGCUGUGCAACCGAGAACCAGCAUGCAUUUUGGUUAAUAAUAGAAACCCACGAGCGGCAUGAUGGUGUGGCCAAGGCUCGGAGCCUGGAAGCUCUAUUCUGGCCCUGGUGUUCCCCCUUUACAGUGAGACUUUGAGAAAGUCCCUUCUCUUCUGCUCAUUCAUCAGACAAGGGAGGGGGACACCAAGUGGGCUUCCCAGCUCUGAAAUCCUAGGAUUGUUUGAUGCAUCAAUAUCAGCUCCUCAUAGCUCUCGUCUGUGGCAUUCUCUUAUUUCUCGUUGCUAAGUUUAUCUGUCCCAACCAGAUGAAUGAAGAUGAUGACAGCAAUAACAAUAUCUGCAGCUAGUAUUUGUCAAUUGCAGCUCUGUUUUAUGUGCAUUUGACUUAUUCAGUCUUCCCGACCACUUUAUGAGGUAGAGACCAUUAUUAUCUCUGUUUUAUGAAGGCAGAAAUGAAGAACUAUCAAUUCCUUAUGUAAGUUUGCUAUGGCUGCCAUAACACAGCACCUCAGACUGGGUGGCUUAAACCAGUGGUCCUCAACCUUUUUGGUACCAGGAACUGGUUUCAUGGAGGCAAUUUUUCCACAGAUGGGGGUUGGGGGACGGUUUGGGGAUGAUUCGAGUGCAUUCCGUUUAUCGUGCACCUUAUUUCUAUUAUCAUUACAUUGUAAUAUAUAGUGACGUAAUUAUACAACUCACCAUAAGGUAGAAUUAAUGCGAGCCCUGAGCUUGUUUUCCUGCAACUAGAUGGUCCCAUCUGGGGGCGAUGGGGGACAGUGACAGAUCAUCAGGCAUUGGAUUCUCAUAAGGAGCACGCAACCUAGAUCCCUCAAAUGUGUGGUUUACAGUAGGGUUCACGCUCUGAUAAUAAUUUUUUUUAUUUUUUAUUUUUUAUUUUUAUUUUUUUGAGACAGAGUCUUGCUCUGUCACCCAGACUGGAGUGCAGUGGGUGAUCUCGGCUCACUAUAAUCUCCACCUCCCAGGUUCAAGUGAUUCUCCCACCUCAGCCUCCCAAGUAGCUGGAAUUACAGGCACCCACCACCACUCCCAGCUAAUUUUUGUAUUUUUAAUAGAGACGGGGUUUUGCUGUGUUCGUCAGGCUGGCCUUUAACUCCUGACCUCAGGUGAUCUGCCUGCCUUGACCUCCCAAAGUGCUGGGAUUACAGGUGUGAGCCACCAGGCCCGGCCAGCUCCUAUAAGAAUUUAAUGCUGCUGCUGAUCUGACAGGAGGUGGAGCUCAGGUGGUAAUGGAAGUGAUGAGGAGUGGCUGUAAAUACAGAUGAAGCUUUGCUUGCCUGCCCAUCACUCACCUCCUGCUGUGUGGCCCAGUUCCUAACUGGUUCCCUGGGGAGUUGGAGACCCUGGCUUAAACCACAGAAAUGUAUUUUCUCACAGUUCUGGAGGCCAGAAGUCCAAGAUCAAGGUGUCAGCAGGGAUGGUUCCUUCUCUCCUUAGCUAGUUGAUGGCCUUCUUCUCCCUGUGUCUAUACAUUGUCUUCCCCUUGUACAUGUCUGUGUCCAGAUUUCCUCUUCUCAUAAGGACACUGGUCAUAUUGGGUUACAGCCCACUUGAGUGGCCUUACUUUAACUUACCUCUUUAAAGACACUAUCUCCAAAUACAGUCACAUUCUGAGUUACUGGGGUCAGGACUUCAGCAUAUGCAUCUUGGGAGUGAUAUAAUUCACCCCAUAAUACCUCCCUAAGGUAGGGAGAGCCUCCUCCUUCCCCCGCACCCCUUGCAGAACUGGGUGGGCGUACAAUAGAGAUCCUUAGAUGAUCUUUGGUAAAAAUAAAGUUUGAGUGGGGGGGCAGGGGAGGACCUAAGGUUAAGGGGUCCUCCUCAGGGUUCCCAGGUCCACCUCAUAGUAUGCAGCUGGGGGCUCAGACCCCUCUCUGCCCUUUUGUGGUGCUGCCAGCCUCGAUGAGGGAAAUGGUUAAGUGAACAGAAAUGUCCUCCUCAUCCUGGAAGAGCAUGACCCCACUGAGGAGUCAGGAGGCUUCCUGGAGGCAGUUUCAUAGGAGGACAGGAAUCCAGCAAGGCGAGAGAGCUUUCUGAGCAGAAGGAAUAGGUGAUGGGCAUGAGAGAGUGUGUUCUGUGAAAGGGGCUCCAGGCAGCAUCAAGUUCAAAGCUGGGAAGAAGGUGGCAGCCAGCAGGGGAAACCAGGAAGGUCUUGAAUGCUAAGGAAUGUGCUUAGGAGCUAGGGAUGCUGUCAAGCAUGGGAGUGCAGCCUGGGGAUUUAUCGUGAGCAGGAGCUUUGUGAUGCAGUGUGGGGGUUGCCCCCGGUGGGUGGGUUAGCUGCCAGAGCCCAAGCUAUUACCCGCUUGCUCUCUCUUCCCUGCCAUGCUGCUAAUUCACUCACAUCCCUUUCUUCGCCUUCCUCUGGGAAGCCGGGGGCCCUCUCUCAUCUGUUGUUCAGCCAAGAUCCUGAGCCAUUCAGCUUCCCAACCAUUGGUCUUGAACAAUCACUUCGCAAACAUGAUUUGGAGGCACGGUGCUCAGGAGGCUACGUCCCAAACACACCAAAACCAGUAUGUAAUCUCUGUCUUUACAAAGACUGUGUGUGCCUUCUUGGGACCCCCACUUACUGGUGGGGGUGGGUCAGGAGGAAGGGUCUCCUCUGGCUGAGUCUCCAUAGGCAGGGAGAGAACCCAAGAAUGCAGUAGGAAGCCUGCAGGAGGCUCAGAGUGGGCUAAAUUGAGAACAUCCUGUAACACAGAACUUCCCCCCUUUAAGCUGCUUUGGCUAACAAUAAUAAUAAUAACAGCCAAUACAUACUGAGCACUUAUUUUGUAUAAGUGAGUUACAAAAGUAAUUCAUUUAAUCUUCAUAGCAACCCUGUGCAGUAGGAACUAUUAUCUCUCUUUUACAAAUGCAGAAACUGAGGCAUGAAGCCGCUAAGCCGCUUUCCGAAAGUCACUGGUUGAACUACUCAAAUAAAGGAUAAUGGGAGUCUUUUGCUGAGAUAGAAGAUGAAAUCUAUCUACAGCUUGGAGAUAGUUACACCAUCAGUUUUUGGCCAGUUGUUUCAUAAAAAUUAGUGCAAACUGGCAUCUUCAGUUUUUCCACACAAAGCUUAAAAAUUAGAUGCUACUGUUUAAAUUGAGAUAUUUGGGUAGGGAAUUGUUUCUCACAUCUGUAAUCCCAGUCCAUUGGGAGGCUGCAGAGGGAGGAUUCGCUUGAGGUCAGGAGUUUGAGGCCA
Molecule: long non-coding RNA, 12795 nt
Filed under: Homo sapiens (human)
Lineage: Eukaryota; Metazoa; Chordata; Mammalia; Primates; Hominidae
Description: HSALNT0384499
Source: RNAcentral